UAGAAGCUGUUUAAGACGCCUGAUUAAAGCACAAAGCGGUCUGACAUUUUCACACACGAGUGUGUUUCUGUAUCCCUGAUUACAGAGCGGAGAUUGAAAGCCUCCCACCCAGAGGUGUUUGCAUGCAGGCGGGUAGAUGAAGGAGGUCGAUGACGCAUCUGGAGGUGCUCCGACAUCUCUGCACACGGCUGUCGAUUUAGACUAUGCUCUUCGAUCAGGCGUCGAGCUGUCAGCAACACAUCAAUCUGAAUUCCUUCCAUCUCCUUCUUGUAGAGAGAGAAGUAUUUUUAACAGUUUGUACCUGUAACGAUUUUCCACUUGAGUUAUGGGACUCCCUGUGUGAUCGGGUUGCGGAUGCUCUCCGUGUAGGUAAAGGCGUUUGUGAAACUUGACUGAUCAACUACUGUAACUUGACAGUCACAUUCAGCGUUUUCAGCAGAGUUAUUACAUACCAAUUGUUCGUCCCACAUGUUGAAACGCUUCCCUGGAAAAAACGGCAAAUGCUAAAAGCGUGUCAUAUUUUUAACGUCUACUUUUUCCUUUCUCGUCAUCAAUGAAUUAUCAAACAGAGAGCAUAAAUCAGUGUAAAAAAAAAAAAAAAAAAAAAACGAGAGGCAUGUGAAAUGUCUCCUCCUUGCGCUGGACAGAGCGAGGUCUUCAGCUCUCUGUUGUUUCCCAUCUCUGAUGCAGCUGUCGUCUUUUCUCAUUAAAGACGUUUUAAAGAAAGCGUGCGGCUCUGUGCAGCGAGCGUUCAAUCAUUUACCAGGAAGGAAGCAAACUGGACCGGCUGCCGGGUUCCUGGACGCGACAGGCAGCGCGUCAAUCAGGCAAACGCCACAGAUAUUUACACUCAUCUCAGAAACUGGAUUCUUCACAGGGAGCUACAAAUUAAACAGCAAUGGGGAAAUUUCACUGAAAUCCAUGAUAUCUGUGAACAAAAACACAGCCUUAGCUAUUGGUUAAUGAGUCAUUACAUGGGCCAGAUUCGAAGAUAUUGGGUAGUUUAACGCUGUCUAAAAUGACUCCCAGUGCAGAGCAGUUUGAUCCAGUCCUGGUUUCACUAGUUUAAUAAUCAUCAGACACACCUGAGCUUGUUAGCUAGACACACUGGGGGCUGAUCAAGCUGGUAGUGAAACCUGGACUGGGUGUGCAAGAGGAGUCUUACUCCCAUCCUUGUUCGGUUUCAUGCACUCUGUCAAAAUCACCUGAACGAUUUUAACAGUAGGGUGGUUUGCUCUGUGUAAAUGACCAGUGAUUGUCCACAAGCUCCUGUCUACUGUAUAUAGACAAUGCUAGGUGCUGGAAGAAUGAUUAAUUGCUGUGUAUACAUUUAUAUGGAGUUCGUUUUUUUUAUUUUUUAUUAACAAAUACAAUAUAUGCAUAUGAUAGAUACAUUUGUACUUGCUCUAUAAAUAUUAAAUUCUCCAAAUCUAACAUUGUGCAUUGUCUUUUUUUUUUUUUAAUAUUGUCUUGUGUCAGUCCCAGCUUUGCGAAGCUGCAGUUCUAGUUAACGCUUGCCCUGAAGUGUCUCGAACGCCUGUUUACUGUCAUAGCAGUUACUCGGUUAGUGCGUGAGCACUUGCACAACGUUGCACUGGUAUUAGCAGAGCUGCAGUGUGUGUAAGUCUUUGUGCACGGUCUAAUCCUGACCCAGCUGGAAAAGAAUAUAAAAAAAAAAAAAAAAAAAAAAAAAAAAAAAAAAAGCCCCCCUGUUUAAAAAGCCGUCUCCUUGCAUGCGCUGGUGCUUGUUGCAUUGUCAGAAGCUGGUGUUUCUCUGCAGACGGUUUUGCCUCGCUAAAGACACGGGAGCGCCAGAGUCAUUGAAUUCGUGAAGUUUAUUUUAGUGUUUAAUCUGCUGUGGGUCUCUGUGGGUCCAAUCGGCGAGGGGGCUGGGUGGAGGUGAUGUGGGUCUCUCUCCCAGUCAGCGAGGGGGCUGGGUGGAGGUGAUGUGGGUCUCUCUCCCAGUCAGCGAGGGGGCUGGGUGGAGGUGAUGUGGGUCUCUCUCCCAGUCAGCGAGGGGGCUGGGUGGAGGUGAUGUGGGUCUCUCUCCCAGUCAGCGAGGGGGCUGGGUGGAGGUGAUGUGGGUCUCUCUCCCAGUCAGCGAGGGGGCUGGGUGGAGGUGAUGUGGGUCUCUCUCCCAGUCAGCGAGGGGGCUGGGUGGAGGUGAUGUGGGUCUCUCUCCCAGUCAGCGAGGGGGCUGGGUGGAGGUGAUGUGGGUCUCUC
Polyodon spathula (Mississippi paddlefish) is the source of this 2223-nucleotide long non-coding RNA. RefSeq lists it as uncharacterized. The record is from RefSeq and is a predicted model, not a curated record. Lineage: Eukaryota; Metazoa; Chordata; Actinopteri; Acipenseriformes; Polyodontidae. The transcript is spliced from 3 exons.